Molecule: ribosomal RNA, 253 nt
Filed under: uncultured bacterium
Lineage: Bacteria
Description: partial 16S ribosomal RNA
Rfam family: Bacterial small subunit ribosomal RNA
Source: RNAcentral
UACGAAGGGGGCUAGCGUUGCUCGGAAUCACUGGGCGUAAAGCGCACGUAGGCGGCUUUUUACGUCAGGGGUGAAAUCCUGGAGCUCAACUCCAGAACUGCCUUUGAUACUGAGGAGCUCGAGUCCGGGAGAGGUGAGUGGAACUGCGAGUGUAGAGGUGAAAUUCGUAGAUAUUCGCAAGAACACCAGUGGCGAAGGCGGCUCACUGGCCCGGUACUGACGCUGAGGUGCGAAAGCGUGGGGAGCAAACAGG